This 253-nucleotide ribosomal RNA is filed under the name uncultured bacterium. RNAcentral's name for it is "partial 16S ribosomal RNA". It matches the Rfam family "Bacterial small subunit ribosomal RNA", at positions 524 to 776 of the family's 1533-position model. The record is from RNAcentral.
UACGUAGGCAGCGAGCGUUGUUCGGAGUUACUGGGCGUAAAGGGUGUGUAGGCGGUUUUCUAAGUUUGGUGUGAAAUCUCCCGGCUCAACCGGGAGGGUGCGCCGAAAACUGGGAGACUAGAGUGCGGGAUGGGAGAGUAGAAUUCCUGGUGUAGCGGUGAAAUGCGUAGAUAUCAGGAGGAACACCUGCGGUGUAGACGGCUUACUGGACCACCACUGACGCUGAGGCACGAAAGCGUGGGUAGCAAACAGG